AUGCCUGAGAGCGUGGCGCCCGGCGGGGAGGACCGCAUCGGCGCCCUCCCGGACGAUCUCCUCCGCCGCGUGCUGUCGUUCCUUACCUCGCGCGAGUCCGUCUGCACAUGCGUGCUCGCUCGCUGCUGGCGCCACCUCUGGAAGUCCGUGCCCGUGGUGCGCGUCAUAGAAGGGGAGGAAGAGCUCUGGUUUGUUAAUUCGCUGCUUCUCCUCCGCGACCGGGCGCCGCUGCAUGAGGUCGAUAUCAGAACCUACCUCGACGACCCAUCGGCACCCCUCAACGUUGAGCUGUGGCUCCGAUAUACUCUGAAUUUUUCAAGCUGCCCAAUGCUAGAGGUAUUAAAGAUGUAUGAUUGUAAAAUCAGCGCCGAGAAGAUCUUGUGCAAAUCGUUAAGGCAUCUAACUAUGGAGAUAUGCCGUUUUGACCUGUAUGGCCGCACUCGUAUCUCUUGCCCAAGUCUCACUGCCUUACUAGUUGACAAUUUGGGUUGGACUCCUUCCCUUGAGAGCAUGCCGUUAUUGGUAACGGCACUUGUCAGGUUUGAUGAAGAAUGGUGUGAACGUCAAGCGUGUUAUGAUCAUUGUCUUAAUGGUGGUUACUAUGGGGACUGUGAUGAUGAGCUAUGUCCUUCUUGCCUCUGUCAUGGCGAUGACUGUGUGCUUCUAAAAGGUCUAUGUGACGCUACAAAUUUGAAGUUGACAAGUGCUCCUCAAGCGAUUAUUUGCACCAGGGAUUUUAAAUGGUGCCAUACGUUUAGCAAGUUAAAAACAUUGUUUCUCAAUGAGUGGUGCCUGGCUGCUGACUUCGGUGGACUGGUUUACUUUCUUCAGCACUCACCAAUUCUAGAGAGGCUUACCCUUCAACUUAGACUUCGUGAGGUACUAUAUGUUUUCUAA
Molecule: ribosomal RNA, 897 nt
Filed under: Triticum aestivum (bread wheat)
Lineage: Eukaryota; Viridiplantae; Streptophyta; Magnoliopsida; Poales; Poaceae
Description: partial small subunit ribosomal RNA
Source: RNAcentral